GCCUGGUUGGCUCAGUUGGUAGAACGUGUGACUGGUGAUCACGGAUAGUGCGUUUGAACCCCACAAUGGGCA
Molecule: transfer RNA, 72 nt
Filed under: Mustela putorius furo (domestic ferret)
Lineage: Eukaryota; Metazoa; Chordata; Mammalia; Carnivora; Mustelidae
Rfam family: tRNA
About the family: Transfer RNA (tRNA) molecules are approximately 80 nucleotides in length. Their secondary structure includes four short double-helical elements and three loops (D, anti-codon, and T loops).
Source: Rfam by way of RNAcentral